GUUCCAGACUCCUACGGGAGGCAGCAGUGAGGAAUAUUGGUCAAUGGACGCAAGUCUGAACCAGCCAAGUAGCGUGCAGGAUGACGGCCCUCCGGGUUGUAAACUGCUUUUGUCAGGGAGCAACGCCGGCUACGUGUAGCCGGACUGAGAGUACCUGAAGAACAAGCAUCGGCUAACUCCGUGCCAGCAGCCGCGGUAAUACGGAGGAUGCGAGCGUUAUCCGGAUUUAUUGGGUUUAAAGGGUGCGCAGGCGGCCCGGCAAGCCGGCGGUCAAAUCGCGGGGCUCAACCCCGCCCAGCCGUCGGAACUGCCGGGCUAGAGUGGGCGAGAAGUGCGCGGAAUGCGUGGUGUAGCGGUGAAAUGCAUAGAUAUCACGCAGAACUCCGAUUGCGAAGGCAGCGCACCGGCGCCCUACUGACGCUCAGGCACGAAAGCGUGGGUAUCGAACAGGAUUAGAUACCCGGGUA
This 467-nucleotide ribosomal RNA is filed under the name uncultured bacterium. RNAcentral describes it as "partial 16S ribosomal RNA". It matches the Rfam family "Bacterial small subunit ribosomal RNA", at positions 328 to 792 of the family's 1533-position model. The record is from RNAcentral.